RNAcentral lists this ribosomal RNA (611 nucleotides) under uncultured bacterium. Its description in RNAcentral is "bacterial SSU rRNA". It matches the Rfam family "Bacterial small subunit ribosomal RNA", at positions 338 to 942 of the family's 1533-position model. The record is from RNAcentral.
CCUACGGGAGGCAGCAGUAGGGAAUCUUCCGCAAUGGACGAAAGUCUGACGGAGCAACGCCGCGUGAACGAUGAAGGCCUUCGGGUCGUAAAGUUCUGUUGUUAGGGAAGAACAAGUGCUAGUUGAAUAAGCUGGCACCUUGACGGUACCUAACCAGAAAGCCACGGCUAACUACGUGCCAGCAGCCGCGGUAAUACGUAGGUGGCAAGCGUUGUCCGGAAUUAUUGGGCGUAAAGCGCGCGCAGGCGGUUUCUUAAGUCUGAUGUGAAAGCCCCCGGCUCAACCGGGGAGGGUCAUUGGAAACUGGGAAACUUGAGUGCAGAAGAGGAAAGUGGAAUUCCAAGUGUAGCGGUGAAAUGCGUAGAGAUUUGGAGGAACACCAGUGGCGAAGGCGACUUUCNGGUCUGUAACUGACGCUGAGGCGCGAAAGCGUGGGGAGCAAACAGGAUUAGAUACCCUGGUAGUCCACGCUGUAAACGAUGAGUGCUAAGUGUUAGAGGGUUUCCGCCCUUUAGUGCUGAAGUUAACGCAUUAAGCACUCCGCCUGGGGAUACGGUCGCAAGACUGAAACUUGAAAGAUGACGNGNGAGAGNGCGAGACGACGAGAGGAG